Oncorhynchus keta (chum salmon) is the source of this 865-nucleotide long non-coding RNA. RefSeq lists it as uncharacterized. Lineage: Eukaryota; Metazoa; Chordata; Actinopteri; Salmoniformes; Salmonidae. The record is from RefSeq and is a predicted model, not a curated record. The transcript is spliced from 3 exons.
ACACACACCUUCAAUACAUUUACAUGAACACACACACACACCUUCAAUACAUUUACAUGAACACACACACACACACACACCUUCAAUACAUUUACAUGAACACACACACACCUUCAAUACAUUUACAUGAACACACACACACACCUUCAAUACAUUUACAUGAACACACACACACACACACACACACCUUCAAUACAUUUACAUGAACACACACACCUUUACCUCUGUGUGUAUUUUGCUGCCAUGUUGGGCCCAUCAGAUCCGGUUUGGUGAAGAUGAAAUGUAACUGGUUUUACAAGUUAACAGCAGAUGAAAACAGUGUAUACAGGUGUGUAUGUUGCUACCAGACUUACUGUCUCUGGUUCUGUGAUGUACAACAGUUAACUAACAGGUGUGUAUGUUGCUACCAGACUUACUGUCUCUGGUUCUGUGAUGUACAACAGUUAACUAACAGGUGUGUAUGUUGCUACCAGACUUACUGUCUCUGGUUCUGUGAUGUACAACAGUUAACUAACAGGUGUGUAUGUUGCUACCAGACUUACUGUCUCUGGUUCUGUGAUGUACAACAGUUAACUAACAGGUGUGUAUGUUGCUACCAGACUUACUGUCUCUGGUUCUGUGAUGUACAACAGUUAACUAACAGGUGUGUAUGUUGCUACCAGACUUACUGUCUCUGGUUCUGUGAUGUACAACAGUUAACUAACAGGUGUGUAUGUUGCUACCAGACUUACUGUCUCUGGUUCUGUGAUGUACAACAGUUAACUAACAGGUGUGUAUGUUGCUACCAGACUUACUGUCUCUGGUUCUGUGAUGUACAACAGUUAACUAACAGGUGUGUAUGUCGCUCUGUUGAUUGUGUUGUCAG